This is a long non-coding RNA of Xiphophorus hellerii (green swordtail), 840 nucleotides long. RefSeq lists it as uncharacterized. The record is from RefSeq and is a predicted model, not a curated record. The transcript has 3 exons. NCBI's taxonomy places the organism in Eukaryota, Metazoa, Chordata, Actinopteri, Cyprinodontiformes, Poeciliidae.
GACUAACAACCCCCGGACAAAUUUGGAAAAAAAAAUUCAGCUAAAGUGGGUGAUGCUUUAAGGAACAAUGAGACACAGCCUAGUGUGGGGCCACAUGUAGAGGGGAUAAGCAAGGCUGUAGUAAGCGCCGUUACCAACUUGGUACUUUGUGGUUAUAGUUUUCUCCAAGUCGCGCUUGAAGAAAGUAUGAACAUGUGCAAAACUGAGAAACUCUAUCGAUCAACCAACUGGACAUUCAAGUAUCUCACCGGAGAUUUGUUCUCCUGUCCACGCGAUGAAUCCUUGGCCCACUGCAUCAGUGAAGACUGUCGCAUGGGAGCAGGCAUAGCGGUGAUGUUCAAGAAGAAGUUUGGUCGAGUCUCAGAGUUAAAGGAGCAGAGUGAGUCAGACUAGUUACUAAAGUCUUUGUUUUGGAAAAAAAAUGUUUUAUGUUUUUUUUUUUGCAGUUUGUUCAAAUGUCUGAUUUCAACAGCAAGUGCUAAAUCAUAUCCUGUUUUUGUAUUUUUUUAUGUAUGUCCUAAUAGAGAAGCUUCCAGGGCAGUGUGCUGUCCUGACACAUGAUCAACGUUUCAUCUACUAUCUGAUCACAAAGAAAAAAGCCAGCCAGAAACCCACGUAUGUCAACCUAAGACAGAGUCUGGAAGACAUGAAAUCUCACUGCUUAGAAAAUGGUGUCAAUAGGAUAUCAAUACCCCGAAUUGGCUGUGGCCUGGACCAGCUGCUGUGGUCAAAGGUGUCAAAGAUCCUGGAACAGAUCUUUAAAGAGACAAAUAUCUCCAUCACAGUGUACAGCCUGCCCUGUGUUGGGUCAAAGCUUCAAAUGCAUGCCAUGUAGUACAU